GGGGAACAGAGAGCGCGCUGAUUGAAGCAGCAGUUGUGUGACUGCACCGAGUGGAUGACCUAAGUCAGUGUUUAUAUUAGUGUCUGUUGCUGCAUAUGAGAGAUCUCCGGUGGGGGAGGGGAUUCAGGCCUACUUCGACGGAGAUUGAGCAGGGGAGAACAAGCUUGGGAACAGAGAGCGCGCUGAUUGAAGCAGCAGGUAAAAGUGAGGAGAAAAUAGUUGAUAAGAAAUUGUUAAAUGGAUAUAAUACAGGCUGAUUAUCAACUCGUGGACCUGUGGUGGUUUCAGUUGUGUGACUGCACCGAGUGGAUGACCUAAGUCAGUGUUUAUAUUAGUGUCUGUUGCUGCAUAUGAGAGAUCUCCGGUGGGGGAGGGGAUUCAGGCCUACUUCGACGGAGAUUGAGCAGGGGAGAACAAGCUUGUGAGAUCGCACGUGCCAGUUUCCACGUGAUUGAUAAUCCGGAGUCUCAUAUAACAGCACAUAUAAGCCACUGCCGUUGUUUUGCACACCUUUAUUGGUUCUUUAACAUUGGUUGCACUAUUUCAAGUCAAAUUGGGGCUUGUGAUCUGGUGUUUUGAUUAGAGGUUAUUAUUGUAAAGGACUUAUUUUUAUUCUUUACAUUUCUUUUUAUACCUUAUUUCACUUUCUGUGCCCAUUGAAGUGAAUUGGGUAACGUCAUUUAUUUUGUUUUAUUAUUGUUUUAUUUGACUUUUCUUGUUUAACUGGAUUGAAGUCCUGAGAAAAUACUAUUUUUCCCCUGAACCAAACAUUAAUGCUGGGUCUCCAUUUGAGGCUCAGUCAAGAAUAAAAGAAUCCUUUUCAGUAGAUGUCUUGGCAUUGUCUUUUCCUUAGUAUAUUAGAAGGACGUCAAGCCGGCC
Cyprinus carpio carpio is the source of this 879-nucleotide long non-coding RNA. The record is from Ensembl. NCBI's taxonomy places the organism in Eukaryota, Metazoa, Chordata, Actinopteri, Cypriniformes, Cyprinidae.